Molecule: long non-coding RNA, 210 nt
Filed under: Elaeis guineensis (African oil palm)
Lineage: Eukaryota; Viridiplantae; Streptophyta; Magnoliopsida; Arecales; Arecaceae
Description: long non-coding RNA (EGUI_LNC069543)
Source: RNAcentral
CCUAGUCAAUAUCCUAUCAAAAAUCAUAAUAGAUUUGUUGUGAUAUCCACAAGGCUUGCUAUGAGGAUUGAUGUGGGUUUGUCUUGGUGCAUAUUAGAUGCUUUAUGGUAUAUUUUGGAUAUGUUGUUUUAUUGUGAUACCCACAAGGAUAGUAUUUUUUAGAUAUGGCUGUAUGAAAUGAAGGGUCUGACUUAACUAUAAAAUACUAUA